GUGCUUUUCAACUUGUUGCACCUAUGCGUGUUCCCUUUUCAGAUACAGUCUCGAGGAUAUCCUCUCUCGGUGAAAAGACGCGAUCCGAAAUAAGAAAAAAAAAAAAACAGUUUUGGGAUUAUUCAUUAGAGAGAGCAUUGUUAAGGAAAAAGGGAAAAGUUUAUACCUCGAACAAGAAAAUGAACGUACGACUCAUCCUACGCUUACUCUACUAUACAAUUUCACUGAAUGUGAUUGUAUUUUUUUAAAGAGACAAUUUCCUUCGUUCGUAUCUCUUAUAACACAUUUCUCAUCUUAGUAGUUACCGAAUCACUUAAAAUAUCUAUAUAACAAAUUUGAUACAUUAUUGAACGUUGUGUUAGAUUUAAAGGUCAUAUAAUACAUGGCGAUAAAACAUGAGGUUAUAAAACGCGUUGUGAUAUUACACGUUGCAAUAUAAUCAUCUUUCAUAACACGUUUCUUAUUUCAAUAGUUAUUAAAGUGUAUAUAAUUACAUGAAAUUUACUGUACGGAUUACUAGACAUUUUUGAUUUCUAAUUGUUCAUUGAAUCGAAUAUUUUUACUUCGAUGUAACCGAUUAUCGAUAAUCAUUCGAUUACUUAUUAUUAUGGCACUUGACAUAUGGUCACGUGACUUUAAUUUACUGUAAUCAAUAAUUAAUUCUGUAUAUCUGUAUUUGUAAAUCGAAUGGCAAUUACAAUAAUUGCGAAGAAGAUUACUGCGUAAAUUUACUAUUUAAUUGUAUGCGUUGCGUGAUUCAAAAGUCAUACAAAAAAUAAACGCUAUUGAUCGAUGCGUUUCUUCGCAUGUUUCAAGGUAUGGUCGAAUCAAUAACUCGAUCGAUUUCGCCUAUUUAAUAUACGAUUGUGUUCGAAUGAACACAACAUCAACUUUUUUUCUUCCUGCCUUUCAUGCUGUGUAAGAUUAUUUUGUUUCCUGUUCGUUCAUUUUCUCGAAGUACGUCGCGAUACUUUCUAUCUGAACAGGAACAUACUUUUAUGAAAGCUAUCCUGGCGAUCAGUAAAAUGGGGAGGGGGAUUUCGAUUUAGCAACAAUACUGACAAGUAGCAAGUGCAACCGUUCACCGUUUACAUGUAUACACAUACCGUCGAUAUCUAAGAUCGCUAGAUAAAGAUAAAAGUUUCAUGCUAUUCCAGUGAUAUGAAGAAGAAAAAGCACGUGUGUGUCCGUUUUUCAUUCUCGGUGUGUAUGACUGGCGAAAUUUCUGAGAUGACAGAUCGAGAGGUUAUCGGCGUUUGUCAUACGUUUGCCGAUUUCUUAUACAGUACUGAUUUUAUGAAUAAUUUUACAUCACUGUUUAUUGCAAAAUCGUGAUAGGGUCAUUUAUCUGACAUUUUUUCUAAAAUUAUUCUUUUUGUGUACUAUUCAUUUACAUAGUAUCGUAUAAUAGAAAUAGUGGAAUGGCAGGUUAUGUUCUCCUCCAUGUUUGACAUUUUAAAACGGAAUAUCAAUUACUUUUCUCAGACCUUUAUCAGAAAAUUUCAGUAUGUUUUAAAUAGUUAUUUCUCGUAAGAAAAUUAUACGUUUUAAUAUUUUAUUAAUGGAUGAUGUAACACUUCUGUAUGAAAAAUAUUUGACCCACAGCAAAGAACUUUCUAUUUACUUGAUCUAAUAAUAAGUUAAGAUUUUACUUAUUAUUACAAGGGAAUAUUUGUUUUCUUACUGUUUUAUAAUUAGGAAUUUCCUUAACCUAGGAAAGUUUAUUGUGAUGUUAUCGGUGUAUAUUUUCCUUAUUAACUUUUCUAUUGGCUUUUAUCAAACAACAUUCAAUAUACAAAUUCUAAACAAAUAUGUCUGGAACUGUGUAACAGAUGUUCUAUUAAAAAUUUGAUUAAAAUUAGUUUUGAGUGGAAAGGUAUUAAAGGAACGGAUUAGGAUUCAUCCUGUCAACGUGGGUUCAAAUCUCUCAUAGGGCAUUUAGGAUAAUUGAAAGGAAAGGAAACUUAAAUAAAAAUAUGAAUAACUGCAAGUACAAUGAGUAUUCCCAUAGUUUGUUCGACAUUGAUAUUUUUUUAUUGGCUGCAUUUAGAUGAUACAUAAUUGAUUCAUUUUAUGCAACAAGAUCAACGGAUAACAAUAAGUAAAAAUAAUAGGAAAUAUAGAAGUAUUAAGCAGUCGAUAGUUAAUUGAGAAAUUGAAAACAUACAUGAAACUUCAAUUGUCAGAGUUAAAAAAUUCUUGAAUAAAUACAAAAAAUAUGAUACUGCUAAUAAUUCAGACAAAUCUAAGAAGAUUGUUAGAAAGUUAUACAAAACUGAUGGUGUUAGUUAUGAUGAUGUCAUAAUAUAAUGAAUACAUAUUACAAGCUGUAUCAGAGGUUUUUGAGGAAAAAUAGAUAGAAAAAUUUAGGUGACUACCAUAAUCGCUAAAUCUUAAUGUUAUUAAGCAUCUGUGGAAUAUUUCAGUAUGAUAGUUAAUUAUUUUUGAAAGUUCCAGUUUAAAAAUGAAUUGAAUGUAUUGCACAGGAUAGAAGAUAUAUAAACACACAUGUUGCGUUUACAAGUGACAUUCGAGUGCAAAGUGGUUUUAGAACUGUUCCAAAAACAAAAAAGGUGGUUGUACGACGUGAGAACGCUCGUGAACGAUCUACUAGGUAGCCUGGCUCGUUUCGAGUGGUUUUCGUGGCGACGAUCAACAACGCUCUUGUUAUGCUCCUCGAAUCACAGUCGUGGGACUUGCACGUAACGAGUGUACGUGCCACUCACGCGAAACAAGUCGAAAUUGCCUUGUACAAAGGACUGCGAAACGCGAACACGAUCCUCUCGACUGCGUUGGAAAAGCGGGAUUGCGCUUUCCAAGCCGAGCUCUGCUCUCUUUCUGUUCUCCAUCGAACAUUCGCUCGUUUCAAGGCUGCGGGACCAAUUAAGCGACAAUGGGACUCGAUCGGUGUACGGGUUGAUCUACUCGUGCAAAAAGGACACUCGCGAAGGUUCAAGGGGAAUUAUGUAGUAACCCUACACCGCAUACGUCAUUUUUCGACGCGUACAUUUAUUUAGUAUACGAAUAUUAAUUAUGGUUGUGUCAUCGGUGGUAGAGUUUUCGAAUCAUUUAAUUGCGUCAAUUCUGUGCAUAGUUGCUGUCAAUGUUUGGCGAUAUAACGGAAAAUUAUGUUUCGUAUGACGAUUUAAUAAUUAAAUGCAAACGAGGAGUUCGUAAAAAUGCAUAGCACUUUACGUUUACUGUUGUUUUUUUAAUGUCUGGUUUAUUUUGAGCAGUUUAUCUUUGAUUUGUUUAACGAUAUCGCAAAAUCUUUAUCGUUCACUUGCCACUUAUCUCUUUACGAAAAGUCAGACCUUAUCAGUUCUCGUAUCAUAUGCAUUUAAUAUGUUUAUGUUAGCAUAGCGAUAAUAUUCGGUAGCUAUUUCUUGAAUUUAUUCGAUAAUCGUAUCUUUUAUCAUAAAAUAGUUAAUGUCAUCAUAGAAGGUUCAACGUUCUCCUUGAAUUAGUUCUUCGAAUUGAUGGCUUACGUUAUUUGCGGCGAGUCCGAACUAAAAAUAGGGAACAUCUGGACUUGUUGGCAAUACAUGCAGUUGAAUUCAUAUAUUCACCGCGAAUGGAGCCAACAGCUUAGCCCAGAUCUCCCCAUCGACUCGAUUAACUUCGCUGCCCUUAAUAUUGUAUUGUACACCCUGUACCACGUUUACAAUUCGAUUGAACCGUGAGCAACAUUACAAUCCGGCACUCUUUUCACGUAGAGUGAUUCGGGGAGUCGGUAAUAUGGCAAGAAAAUGAAAAAUUGGAAAAGAGCUCGAAAUGUUUGAAACAACUGCACUUCCGGCGCCGGACUAUUCGAUUUCGCGUAACGCGAUUGUUUAACGUCUUUCACCAUUUCGGAUUUACAGCUCGAUCUCAUUACAGAACCUUGCGCGUAUAGAUGAAGUUACUUAGGAUAUUGACCUUUACGAUAUGUGUCAAGAUCAUUGAAAGGUGUACUUGGUUCUGUAAUUACCGUAUUGUUUCGCGAAGUGUCAUAUUUCUCGUCCAGAUCGCGAAUCAGUUUGACCUUGCUGGUCACCGAAUAUGCGUACCUCUUCGACACUCGAAAAUCAUCUCGAAUUUGAAUAUUCCACAAAGCGUCGGCGACGCGCUCGCGAGAGGAAGCGAGCACGAAGAUGAUGCGUACACGCGCCCGCACGUAUCCGGUUUCUGCGACGUAUAUUGCGUUCAAUAUGCUUGUAACACGACAUAAUCCUAUAUCGUGUUCCACGACGAUGGGUGCAAUGCACGUUACGAAUACCCGCAACACAGACGGGGACAGUCUUUUAAGCCGCUUCCUUCGACGUAAAUCUACACCUUCGCCGCAUGUUGCUACCACCUCGAGACUCCAACCUUUUGCUUCUUCUUCUUUUAAUCCUUUCGAUACGCCAGAGUCUACUUUCCAACAGUAUUUGGACUUAUCGCUCGUGGCGAUCUCCUGCACUAAUGACCACGGUAGGCUAGGCUUCCCUAGGAAAAACACUGACGUAGUGGAACGAAGCCCCGUCACUACCGUGUAAACGUUUACUCACGGAAAUUUUACAAUAUUUCGUAUCGAGCAAUUAUAUUCGCUUUCUCGAAAUUUCUACCAAUCAUUUUUCUAUUGGAAUUAGGACUUUAUGCCGAGGAAGCAUAGUCCUUUAGGAUCUUGCGGUUCUCGCUCGUCAUUACCGCAAUUAAUCUAAGCGCGUAUAGUACUGUAUAUCUGUAGUGUAGAGUAACCAGCAGGAUAAUGAUUAUCGUGAUAAUUUCACCGAAUGAAGUUGGAACGUGUAAAAACGAACGUUUCUUGGUUCAUCGUUGGAGACGUUAUCCGAAGACCGUAAUAGAACAUCAAGCUCGAUAAACGAAUUUUUCAAACGUUUUUUUCGACUUGCUUCCCUAUCGUUGAGCGGAGCGUCGUCAUUGGAAAUUAUUGGUCGGUGAUCUAUUAAUUUCAUCGGCGGUUAAUUAUCCCUGUAAAGAGGUCAACGUCGCGCCGUACCAUUUAGUCAUAACAAAUGUUACGCGUUCGCGAUACGAUCAAAAGGGAGCGAUUAAACUCGACACUUAAUACGACACUUAUCCACAAUGUGGUUGACCUAUAACUCGCGUCGUUCGUACGAGCCACCAGUGUGUAAGACACACGGGCCAAUCAAGAUUAAUCAGGAGGACCGUCCGCGAAAAGAUGACUUAACGACCACGUCAAAUGGAGCACGUGGGCGUUUUACUUACUCGAAUAAUGUACUACCUUGCUAUCUAUGUGUUAUCUUUGCAGUAUUAAUCCAAAAACAUUAAUCUGUCCGUAUCGAACAUUUAAGUAAUUGAUAUCUUUAUAUCGAUCGAAUUAUUCGGAAGUUAUUAAGUGUCAGGAUACGAUGUAACAUUUUAAAAUAAUGUUGAAAGCAAAAAGUGAUUUGGCAAUAAGAGGAGAAACGAUCGCUUCGCAUUCUUUUCACCGUGUAUCGAAACGUUGCGAUUGCAGCGUGAAAUUUCGAGUUCGUUGCACUUUUAAUCGGCCAUCCGAACUGAAAGAUGAUCGAUUUAAAACGGAGUCGAUACGUUUACGUAUCGCUUGCUUGUAAGCGCUUCAAAAGACCGGAAUGAUUGUUCGCAAAAAGAAUGCUUUAAUCGUUGGACAUGCAUUGUCCACUAAGGCCACAUAUUUGGAACAAGAAGGAACUCGUGUUCAAACCCACAAUUGUACAGCCUAAAAGACAGUUAUAGUAGAAAGUUAUUUUCGUGAUCGACGUUCGGAGGUACCUUUACAGGUAGUAGUCCGUGGAGAACUUAUUUUCGUGUUGUCAGUGUCGUGCUGGGGCUUCUCUUACCGGAAGCUCACCGUCCUGUUGCGCGGACCCUUCCGCUUUUUGCAUACAGAUACACUUUAAUCGAACGAAUCGUUCAUUCGAUCACGUUUUCACGUAUUUACUUUUGGUUACCUGUCACGCGCACGAGAGUAUCUUUUAUCGGAUACAUCUUUCGUGUAAAACGCGAGUUCUACAAUUUUAUACCCAAACGAAACCAAGAUAUUUGACCCUGGCGAGCUGUUCAAUUGCGAAUUUCAUUUCGUUAAAAAUAAAUGCUGAAUUUGACAAACAAAAGAUAAAUCGAAGUCGUGAAUUCCAAACGACACAAGUUCACCGAUUAGCAUUCUCACAAAUAUGUUUUCCUUAGUUCCUUCCAUUUCCCGCUAAUUUUGUUCGUUCUUUUCACCAGAUAUAAAUAGUCUGCACCUAGAUAUCAUUAGUCACCUGCUACUAAUUAUGAUUUUACAAUUUAGGCAAAUUGUAACAAGUUAUCCGUGUUCGCAAGGUUUGUUGCAUGUCGCAGUUGCCUUUCCGGGGUUUUUUGCAACGCUCGUUGAGGUUCAAUGCAACUUCCGUCUUUUCAUUUUCCUUCCUGUUGCUUUUAUUGGUUAUGCCGCUAUUAACAGAUUUCUUUUGUAUGCGUAUCUCUUCUGCGUUACAUUUUUAUCGCACGCUUCCAAUUGGCUGUGAAAAAAUAAUGGAUUGCGGUGCAUUUGAACGCAGUGUUGUGACAAUAGCGUAGAAAGGUGUGUGCAAAUCAAUCUUUGUACACGAAAGAAACUAUGACGAGCGGUAUCAUCGUUCGCGUGAACAACAACAAGAAAGGAACGGUAUGAUCGUCGUUGGUCUUGUCUGGCAGCUAUAAGUAAGUCGGCGCCAAAUAAUUCAUGAGAUAAUUUCUAUCGAACGAGAUACGCGCCGCUCUUGCUGCUUACUGCUAGCCUCGAUAACAAUUAUUGACUCAAUUCUCCGGGCACGUAAGUAAAUUGUAUUUAACGAACUGUUCUGCGAUGGAUCCUCUUAACUCCUCGCCAUCUAAUCGCGCGAUUGAACGUUGCCGGUGCUGAAACAAAUGUCACUGGAUGCAGCGGACGAUGUUUGUAUUUCUCUGAGUUAAUUUUUUCGCUCUUUAAUUUUGAAGACAAAGAGAAAAUUUUUAAGAUAAUACACAUUACCAUGACUACAAUGUCCUUGAAUUAUUUUCGGAAUUCUAGCGUGUCGCUAAACAGGGAAAAUAAGGUGAAACUCGAUAAUCCGGAUUUUGCACGUAAUUACCUUCCCGAUUGAGAUACAGGGUCAAAAGUUGGUAUACGACGUCGUUCGUUCGGUAAGCUAUCGAACAGCGCGUUACGAUCUUUUCAACAGCUUAUUUGCCGUACCCUUCGAAAAUUUGAAAGUUGAAACGCUGUGCUCGAGACAAGUGCCUAAUUUACCCGACGCUAACGGCUAUGCUGAAAUUAGAUAAAGGCGAGAAUUUGUAGCUGAGGUAGAUUGCCGUAUUACCGUAAACGGAGUUGUGGCAGCGGAAAAUUCUUGCAGUUGCAAUCUCCUGUUGAAUCGUUAAACGACACAAGAAAUUCUUGAAUGUAUCCUCGUGUUUUCUUUUCGCUCUGUUUAUGAAAUUGUUUCAACGAUUGCGAUACGAGGCUCGCGAGAAAACAGGUGAUAAAAAUACGCGGUCAUAAAUGGAAGGUUAAAUCAAGGCUGCGGAUGCAUAUGUUCGUACUCUCGAUAAAGAUUACGCGUUUUAUAUGCGUGACACACAUUCCGAUACGUUCAACGUAAUCUCCUGCCCUCGACGACGGUGACCACGACGACAACGUUUCAACAAUGAUCGCUUUUAAAACAGCAAUACGCUUGUUUGAUUUACGAAGGGGGCAAGUUUCGUUUAUUCGUUUUCUUAUUUUUUACGCAGCUAUCCGUGACGAUGUAAAAAAGAAGACACGAAGGAAGUGGUUAUCUCGGCUCGUUAGUCGCUCUCUAUUCACCGUAAUUUUUAUAUUUCUUAAAACAUUUAUCUACCGAUGCACCAUCAAAUAUGCAUGCUUUCUCCGUUACGUCGAGUGAAGUAAUAGGUUCGCACAUAUUUUUGUAACAUCGAUCGAGAACGAAAGUUUGUUAUCCCGAUGACGAAAAGUAAGGCGAAUUUUGCCAGUAUAAUAUAUCGAAUUAGCUUAAAAGCUUUUACUUCGUAUUACGAUGGUUUUUACUUUACCAUACGAAAUCUUUUAUACGUAUUUCGUGUCACAGUGUUUUCUACCUACUCAGUGAUUCAUUAUUUUUCGGUGUCGUGAGCGUGUACAAAAUGUUAAGAAACGCGUUUCAGCUUCUUCGAUUUGUUCAUAUUUGAUUGGUCCUCCAGUUGGCCGCGUAUCGAUCGGUCCGGCAAAAUGUCUCUCAUAGAAGAAUCGACUAAACGAAAUAGCGCGUGCUCCGCGAUUCGUUGUUUCGCUUCAAUAGGAACGACUUCAUUGAAUGACAAAAAGCAGUUUUGUAACAGUAUCAAUUGAAGGAAAUUCGUACUGAAAGUCACGAUGCUUAUUCAUUUUCUAAAGCUACGCACACUAGCUUUACGCGUGUAGUAAAGAGACCGGGAGAGAGAGUUCUAUUUGUGUUACGAUCGGUUAAGUAUAAUACUGGUGUUACGGUAAAUAUGUAUGCACAUAUGGUGAACGAACGCGCAUACUAAUUUUACCGGUAAACGUAUACGCGAUGAAUUUCAAAUUUUCUUUAAUAAGAACAAAUGUUGACGCUAUCGUGGAUGCGUUAAGUUAUUGCAUGUUGAAUGACCGGUUUCGAAACAUGCAAUUUCGAUAAGAUUCGAUGAGAGAAGUAUCGCGGAACAACGCUUUUAUCGCAUCGAUUGAAAAUUUGAAACUCGAGGAAAACUGUGGUGUUAAUUUUGAUAUUGAUUUCUUCGAUGACUAACUGCUGAUUAUAGUAAACUGGCGAUUGCGAAAGACAGGCUAAUAUUUUACUGUCGUAAUCGUCGUAGUAGUGGUCAUGGCAUCGAAACGUCGUCGUUUUCUUUGGAAGAUGUUUUUGAGGUCAAAUGGCAUUAAGGUCUUUGUCGAGCUGUUUAACUAGAAAACUGACCCAGACCGAUAUCGAAUUUUUCUUUCAAGUUCGAUCGGUAGACCGAGCGGAACAGUUUUGAUGAACAUUAGCAUAUUCGUAUUCUUCCGUUCUCUCUUUUGACCAACGUUUUGGUCCAUUUACUUACCAGAUACUGCUUUCACCGCUCUCACCGUGACAAAUCGGUCCAAUUUGCCGUAAAAUCAUUGAUUUCUGAUAUCGUGGAUCAGAUUCUCUUCUGUUGUGCCGUUGUUUUUCUCCUCCGUCUCGUUACUGGAGCGCAAACACGCAAAACUGCGCCCGUAUACGGCAUCGAUUCAGAAUUGAUUUCAAUAAGAAAUAGAUAUCGCGGCGGUAGAGAAUAUAACAUUACAAUGAUAGCGAAAUGCUAGAAAGUGGUAGUCCUUAGUAGUUGGACUGUGAAAUAGUUGAAAAGCGGAGAAGACGAGGAAAUUGGGAUAUUAAGAAGAUUAUGCUCCAACGAUUUCAAGCGAUAAAUCGUCGAACCAGAUGGAAACUCGACACUUUCAUCGAAGAUCGCGAACUUUUCUGCGAUAAUAAUACAAAUUUCCAAAGUAGUUAAAAAUAACUCGGGUAUCCGUAUAUGCAUAAUCGCGUCUAAAUGCAGUGUUCAUGCAUUUAGUAAAGUAAGCAUUUCAUUAAGAUUACAGGGAAAAAAUGGAAAUGCUCAUUCGAUUAUGAAACAUAAAAUGCACGUUUUAGAUAAGCGCUGAUUGUAGUAAUUAUUGUUUUUGUGUAAAUAGUUUUUUUUCCUUGAAUCACUCCGUCUAGUCGAUUACUGGGAGAAAACAGAUCAACGCAAGUAGAAUGGAAAAGAUAGUUAACGAUAAACAAAUUAUGAUAAUUUCGAAGAACGUCGAUCGUGAAAUACUGAUUACGUUGACGAGUUUCAAGGCCAAUUAGUACGAUUACCGUUCCGCGUUAAAUUUGAUCUACUCGUCGAUACUACUGAUAAGGUGAUAGAUGAUUUAUGUCCAUUGAAGGGAGUUGGUAAUUAUUUCUAUUAUUAGAAAUUCGUGACUAUCGAAUAUUUUCCUGACAGAAUUAUUUUUAAAGGUUUUACGAACCGCAACGAUUUCGACAUUGAAUCGUCGAAGAAUGUAAAAUUCGAAGAAACCACGGAUCGAUUAAUUGUUCAGAGGUUUCUUCUGGCAAUGCAGUUAUCGAAGAAGUUUACUGUGCAGCUCGUUCGAUGCACAAAGAAAACUGAUUUGCAAUUCAUGCCGCGUUAGCUGUGUCUCGCCGAUCGGGCUAAAAUAGUCACCUAAUAAAAACACGGAGAAACGAUCGAACGCGUUGUUUCAUUGUCACGUUACAAGUUCUUGAGGGAAAAUACGUUUCCGAUUAAGAAUAUCGGCAGGAAAUAAUAAGUGUCCGCGUAUUUACAAUUAGUAUGUCUUUUAAUUAUUCCACUAUUCGUUCUUCCGCUGUUAUUUUACCGUAGAGCGAUUUUUCAAAGCAAACGCGGGUCGAGGAGCGUAGUUACGGGGUUAAUAACCACGGGGUAAAAUGCAGAGCCGAUGAAUCGAUAGGGGUAUCGAGAUCUCGCAGUCUCGUUUUUCAUGGCACAAGCACGUCCCGGGGAAUAAUGGUCGCUUUCACCGAAAACCACCGCACACGAAUCUCGAGGUCUUCGGCCCUUCUCUUUCGUGGCUGCUCCUCGUUUUUUCCUUUUCUUUUAUCCCGCCGUUGCAGUAUCGACAUGGCAGUUCUGGUAUAAAUAUAUUAAAUGGUCUAGAGAAAAUUAAUCGAAAUUUCCGGUUCGUUGCUGACCAAUUCACCUGUUGACGCAAUACGACGAAACUUUCGCCGCGGCGAAUAACCGUUUCAACGAUCCGGUAUAGCUAUAUUCAGGAAAAGUGAAUUUCCUUGACACUCGCUCGUACGCGUAUCAUUUCUCGCGAACACGCUGCAGGAUAGAGAAUGCUAAUUGCGUCGAACAUCGUUCGAAAUUGGAAGUUUUCUAAAGUUCUAGAACUCGUUAAUCUUUCGCAACUGGUCGAUUACAUCAGUGUUCGAACGAGUAACGAGUGACUAAUAAUAAGAUAAUACGUUGUACGAAAGAAGCGAGAAUUAUACAUCGUGCAACGUUUAUGAAUAAACGUCUUUCAUGUUUCUACAAAUAACGAAGGUAAUCGACGACGGUCUAUUCCAUACAAUAAUUCCUUUUCGUUAUCUCGUUGUCUCGAACGGCUCUUCGAUUAACGCACUUAAUCAUCGCUCGACUAGACAAGAAUUUCCUCGCGUUAGUUCGAACGCGAUUAAAACGCAAUUAAUAUUUCAGUUAAUUUGAAAGAGCGAUUGAUCGCGUUGCGUCGACGCGAUUGAAACGCAAUUAAUAUCACAAUUAAUUACCAAAGGCUAAUCGAAUCGUUGCGUUCCACGAGUAGAGGAGAGUAGAUUUUGUCCUGUGACUUUCGAGGUGACGUGCGUGGGAUUUCUUUAUAGCAGAUAGACAGUUAGCAGGACUUCGAAAGAUGCUAUACACUUCGACCGGCUUCGUCCUUGCAUUUACGUAAGCAUCGUUCGAGUACGCGUUACGCAAAUAACUUUAAUUACGAGCCAGUGCCGUUCUUUGCGAAUACGCGAGAUGUUAACGAACGAUUAAUCGAACGACUAAAAAACUAGCGGUAAAAACGGAGGAGGCCGUAUACGAUAUAUUAUGCGAAAUAUAUGUUACAUUCGAAGUUGUCGAACGCGAAUGGAACGGAAGUGCCAUCGGGGGUGUCCAAUUGGCACGCAUCGUGUAACGACGCGUUAUAUCGCCGCGAGUCACCUUCCUACGUAUCCGUUAACCACGAGUCAGUUCGGCUCGUUGAUCUCCGUUCACGGCAAUAUAACGAGAGUCUCCCGUAAUCGUUUGUCAAUCUCCUUCGCGAGUUACUCUUCCGAAGUCGAGGCGAGUAACGACGAUGGUAUCGUUGCGGUGCUCGCUGACCUGAAAAUCCUUAGGCCGUGUCGACGUGUUCCAGCACAGUUCGUGUCGCUUUUUUUCUUCAGAAAUUUCUAACGAGUUUCAAAUGCUGGUCGAAAAAGCGAAUCGUUCCUCGAGACGCUCUAACGAACUCCAAUAAUUGCAUUUCGUUGUCGUGAUCGUCGGUAAUUACCAUAAUGCUCGCCGAUGUUCCAGUUUUAUAAUCUUCUUAGAAAUUUCUGGAGAUAUCGAUCGCGAGAUAUCGAUGCUUCGAAGUUCGUUGUCCUCGAGGUAGUAUCAACUUCUAAUCUCGUAAACGUUUCUUCGUAACCGUGAGUCGCUAAUCUUGCCGGCUUUCUUUCGUGGAUACCUAUUUUAUCGAUUUUUCUCCGGCUGCGGAUCUCGUUGACGCGUUCGUCGCCGUAAAUCGCGCAUCGUUAUUCUUUCUAUGGUGCUCAAUUACGGUCGUAAUGGUACCGUGGAUGCGUUCCUUCGGUAGGAACGCUAGCAAUUAUGAGCAACGACGCGAACUAAUCGUCGACGAAUUAGAGAGGCACGCGUUUUUUUCAGGCUGAUUCAAACGAUAGGUAUGUCGAACUUCGGGUCAAAUUAAGAUUAUCGAAACGAGGCUUGUAUCGCAUUCGCUAGAUAAGCCGAAGACUUUCGAAAUAAAGCCUCGUUUAUAUCGUGAAACUUUGCACGAUAGCAAAAUAUUUAAAACGAACAUUGAUUUUCUCGCAGGCCCGUUAUCGACCCUCGUGUUACGAUUGCCGCCAAUAGCCGAGGAAUGUCCUCGUUAGCACGUUGCUUCUUAUAAUUAGCCAUUUGUAUGCGAUACUAAGCGACAAAUAAUUAUGUAUUUUACCUUAAGAAUAUUAAUCGUUCGUUCGCGUGGACAUUUUCACGAAACCGAUGCGUCACAAGCGCUAUUUAGAGAUACUUUACUGUCAUCGAAUCGUAUCGGUCUUUUUGCGUUUGAAAAUUUCUUCCUGUGGCGCUUGAUCUAAACCAGCUGGUCCACGGUUUGUCGCGAACAAAAAAUCUGUUUCUUGCGCGAGAGGAAAAUGUGUUUCGUGUUCGUAGCACUUUUUUCUCGGCGGUUCAUCGUCUCGAUGGGAGUGUAACGCAACGCAGGAAGGAAAAUGCACGCCGUAUUUGUGUACGCGGUGAAGCGUACUCGAUUGUGAAAAUUUCCCACGUGUCAUUGAACCGUUACGUUCACACACGAGAACCGGGACCACAAUAGGGCACGACCUUUUCUCCACGAUUCAUACGCCGACCAAUGGAAAGUGUUACGAAUACGUGCUGUACUCCAAAGUCUUUUCCGACACGCGUUUAUCCUCCUCGACUACCGCUACAAAACUUUCAUCUACUAUUCGCUACUACAGUACCAACUACGAAAGUAUUUGUAUCUUGAUAAAUAUAACAAUGUAAUCUUGACACGUUUAGUAAACGGUCGUAAUAUUAAUUGCGAUAAAAAUCGUCAAAUUUACACUGAGCAGGAAACCUCCUUCGUGUUUACUCCGUAAUUUCACCGGUAAAGUUUCUUUAAAUAUACAACUCCUCAAAGUUUAACGUUCUCCUUUGUGAUUCCAUAAUUUCUUCGAGGAAGUAAAGAAUUGAAAAUAGAAGUUGCUAAGACACACGUAAUUCGGCAAAGACGUUCACCAGAAAUACGUAAGCUAACAGACGCAGAAACAUCUAGAACCGUUUCAGUCUUUUCGACGUUGUAUUUCUUUCGUCGAACAAUGCUCGAGAAACCACGGCUCGCAAACUUGGAAAACGUGGUAGAAGCAAGGAAAAAAGGAACUCGAUGCUUUUUACCUCCUAGCAGUCGUAAUCUAACACAAAGACAGCCAUUUUGUAUAACCUGUUUUAGAAGAGAACGUUGAGUAACUUUUACCUGAUUCUAUCCAUCGUUCGAGAACAGCCAAUCUGGAACGAGAAUUUUAAACGCCGCGCCGUCGACAGUUUUCGCGGAAGUGAAUAUUUUACGGUCGAGUGUACCAUGAAAUAUUAUCUCAUUUUUAAAAUAUUAGUAUAAGGAAUAUAAAAAUAAAUAUUAGUCAUAAGGAUGAAUUUCUGAACUAUUAAAAAAUUGCAGAUUUACUAAUACGUUGUUUUGCUAUUUUUGGAAAAAUUGGUUCUGAAGUCGGUUCACGUGUGUGGUUCGCAGUUAAUUGGUUUACAACAGCUUUCAAACAUCGCGUUCGCGGAUGGUAAUUGAUUUUUUAAUUGAACUUUGCAUGUAAUCAAAGUUUAUUUUUUUCAGCAUACCUUUCUUCUGUACGAUUGUACAGUCUGGUAGUUUAGCGUUUAAAACCAUUGUUACUUUUCCUCGAAUUGCCUCCAAGUUCAAUCAAUACAGAAUCCUGCAAUAUUAAUGGUUAGCUUUGGAACGGGAAUGCUAUAGGAAUAUUUUGUUAUCGGUUGGACAAUCGUUCCAUUUUUUUUUACCAAUUUUUGCGCGUGUUAAAUUAAAUUUGAUUAAAGUUCAAAGAUCGUGACAAUCUUGCAAACUUCGACCAGGCACUAUGUGCGAAUUAUUGUGGUAAUUUUAAGAGAAGCUGCGAGAUAACGUAACUAGGAAAGAAUCAGUCCGUGAACUUUUAGAAUGCAAACGCGCGAGUAAAAAAUGAAUGCAUAUGUUUCGUCGGGAAAAACCAGGAAUAUUUUCCAAAAAACAGAAGAACACGUGCAGAGGGUAAGCAUCCUCCCGAGAUGUUCGGGAACGAGUUCUGCCCGGAGCUAUUUUUACAGGGUGUCGCGUAUGAUACGAUACGGGACAAUCGUGAGUCACGUUUAAAAACUGGUUCGUGGAUUGUGCGUUACGCGUUUGCGCAUGCGUUGUAUAGGAGGUUUCAGGAUAAGGGACCGAUACUAUAGUUACAAUCGACAAAGUGUCGAUACUGCCUUUUCCGAUAGUUGCUACAAGUUAUCUUUCGUUUACCGAGAAAACCUUUUAAAAUCGAUGUACGUAUGGGAGAGAACAAUGCGUGUGCCGAUUCUCAGCGUCAGAUACCGUAAACAAAGAGUAGGGAAA
Molecule: long non-coding RNA, 14839 nt
Organism: Megachile rotundata (alfalfa leafcutting bee)
Lineage: Eukaryota; Metazoa; Arthropoda; Insecta; Hymenoptera; Megachilidae
Source: RefSeq, a predicted model, not a curated record